GGACAACCUACCCUCAGGACGGGGAUAAACCCGGGAAACUGGGUAUAAUACCCGAUAGAUCUCGGCUGCUGGAAUGCAUCGAGUUCUAAAGCUCCGGCGCCUGAGGAUGGGUCUGCGGCCUAUCAGGUAGUAGUGGGUGUAGCGUACCUACUAGCCUACGACGGGUACGGGUUGUGAGAGCAAGAGCCCGGAGAUGGAUUCUGAGACACGAAUCCAGGCCCUACGGGGUGCAGCAGGCGCGAAAACUUUACAAUGCCGGCAACGGCGAUAAGGGGACCUCGAGUGCCAGGUUACAAAUCUGGCUGUCGUGAUGCCUAAAAAGCAUUGCAUAGCAAGGGCCGGGCAAGACCGGUGCCAGCCGCCGCGGUAACACCGGCGGCUCGAGUGGUAACCGUUAUUAUUGGGUCUAAAGGGUCUGUAGCCGGCCGGAUAAGUCUCUUGGGAAAUCCAGCAGCUUAACUGUUGGGCUUUCAGGAGAUACUGUCUGGCUCGAGGCCGGGAGAGGUGAGAGGUACUUCAGGGGUAGGGGUGAAAUCUUGUAAUCCUUGAAGGACCACCAGUGGCGAAGGCGUCUCACCAGAACGGACCUGACGGCAAGGGACGAAAGCUAGGGGCACGAACCGGAUUAGAUACCCGGGUAGUCCUAGCCGUAAACGAUACUCGCUAGGUGUCGGCCACGGUGCGACCGUUGUCGGUGCCGUAGGGAAGCCGUGAAGCGAGCCACCUGGGAAGUACGGCCGCAAGGCUGAAACU
RNAcentral lists this ribosomal RNA (753 nucleotides) under uncultured archaeon. Its description in RNAcentral is "bacterial SSU rRNA". It matches the Rfam family "Archaeal small subunit ribosomal RNA", at positions 102 to 856 of the family's 1478-position model. The record is from RNAcentral.